This 266-nucleotide ribosomal RNA is filed under the name uncultured archaeon. RNAcentral's name for it is "partial 16S ribosomal RNA". It matches the Rfam family "Archaeal small subunit ribosomal RNA", at positions 717 to 982 of the family's 1478-position model. The record is from RNAcentral.
AGACGUCUACAUUAGAUACCCGCGUAGUCCCAGCCGUAAACUAUGCGCGUUAGGUGUAUCGGUGACCACGAGUCACCGAGGUGCCGAAGGGAAACCGUGAAACGUGCCGCCUGGGAAGUACGGUCGCAAGGCUAGAAACUUAAAGGAAUUGGCGGGGAGCACCACAACGGGUGGAGCCUGCGGUUUAAUUGGACUCAACGCCGGGAAGCUCACCGGAUAAGACAGCGGAAUGAUUGCCGGGCUGAAGACUCUGUCAUGACUAGCUG